Long non-coding RNA from Astatotilapia calliptera (eastern happy), 1644 nucleotides. Lineage: Eukaryota; Metazoa; Chordata; Actinopteri; Cichliformes; Cichlidae. The record is from Ensembl.
CAUGGAGCUACAUUUAAAGGGCUGUGGGACAAUUUUGAAAGGGCCCAAUGAAUAAAUUAAUUGCUUCAUAAAAAAACAAAGUGUAACCUCAGACAGCUGUGAACAAGUGUCACAGUUAAGUCUCAGGGUCUUGCUUUUCUUUAAGGAAAAAGAAGUGGGGGGGGUGAAAAAAAAAAAGCCCACUGAGGUUAUCUGCUGAAUAAAAGUUGCUCCACGCAUAAGGGGUUCUUUGGGGGCCAGAACUGGAGAACUCUGCUGAAGGACUAUGUAAAAAGCUUCCUUGCAGUGUGUGCCUCAUUGUGCUGGCUUCACAUACUCUGCUCUCCCCACAGAGUUGUCAUGCCUACCCAGCUCCCCUUAUCUCAAAGGAACAUCACAGUUUCUUACGACCGAAGAGCGAGAGAGAAAGAGAGGGGGGGGGAAACUUUUUCAAAGUUAAGUGGAAAUGCAACUCAUGCCUUCCCGGCAUCACUCGUGAAACGUCCAACAGCGAGGAAACCAAUAAAUUCGCAAAGAUUUGAGCUAAGAGGCACUUGUUUUCUUCAAAAGUUGAUAAGAGAGAGGAUGAUGGGGGGGGGGGGGGGGGGGGGUAUCCUUUACGACAAUUCACAUCCACCAUGCGCUCGCGAGUUUCCUAACAAUGAAAGAGGUGCAAAACAAACAACAUAAGAACAAACAAACAAACAAACAGCGCCAAACGGUCUUUGAACCGGUUGAUAAACGCAAUCUCUGUGAUGUGGACUCACGCUUCUUUCCGCUUUAAGUCCAGAAAACAACAAGCAAGUUAACUGCGUUCAUCUUUCGGGCUUCAAAACCCCCUUUUCCCCCCUCUCUCUGUCCGUCUCUGUGUCUCUGCGACGUGCGUCAUUCAGAGAAGCAAGAAAUCUGAACUUGAGUAUCAAGUUUGCAGUCAGAAUAGCAAUGAAAAAAAAAAGUUAUCAAUGAAAAUAACCAAGAGGUAAGCGUGCAGUUUUACAAGAGUUACCCUGUGCUGACACAAAAAAUAAAUAAAUCACUCCAAGUCACUGGCUUCUAGGAAAUCGGUGUCAUUUAACGUGACUUGACGCGACAUACGUAAAUAAAUAAAAUCAAGAAACAAAACUUUGAGAAAGGAGAAUACACAAACCUACUUGAGGCGACUAAGUCACUCCACGUCCCCUUGUUGCUGGCUUCAAACUCAGUCUUAAAAUCAGAGCGGUUCCCCCAGUAGCCCCCCAAUUUGUAUUUGUGUGGCGUUUGGGUGUCCUAACCUAAAUGUAAAUUGCCAUGUGAAUUCAAAGCGGUGCUGCUCUUUUCCCUCUCUCUCAUUCAGCAGAUCCCUCUUUCCUUACCGACGCCGCUCAGGCCGUUAGUUACAUAAGACGCAAACCGACUGCUGCCCGUCGUAAAACUACCAACAGCUAACAGAGCGAUAUUUCGCCUCCUAAUCGCACACGGCUUCCCUUUUAAGACGAACACGUUACAUCUUCCCACUUGUCCGAGAGCAUGCAUUUCGCCGUGUACAACUCCAAAGCGUUCAUCGCCGAUGCAUUUUUUUGCUUUCCCUCACUCUCUCUCUCUUCUUCUUUUGCCGUUUACAAUGCCUCUGCACCAACAGAGAGGGCUGUAUGCAUGGUGUGCAUUUGUGCUGGAAGUGUUUCUUUU